GCUAGCACCGUGCCGAUGUGCUCGGUAGUCGGUAGGGUGCGAGCGUUACUGGGACGUACGGUGCGUAAGGGGUGGCACGGCGGCAAGGCAAGUCGAGUGGGAAAGCCCCGGGCUUAACUUGGGAAGUGCGCUCGAAACUACUUUGCUGGAGUGUGGCAGAGGAAGGUGGAAUUCCACGUGUAGCGGUGAAAUGCGUAGAGAUGUGGAGGAACACCAAUGGCGAAGGCAGCCUUCUGGGCCAACACUGACGCUCAUGCACGAAAGCGUGGGGAGCAAACAGGAUUAGAUACCCGUGUAGUC
This 300-nucleotide ribosomal RNA is filed under the name uncultured Halorhodospira sp. RNAcentral's name for it is "bacterial SSU rRNA". It matches the Rfam family "Bacterial small subunit ribosomal RNA", at positions 496 to 795 of the family's 1533-position model. Lineage: Bacteria; Pseudomonadati; Pseudomonadota; Gammaproteobacteria; Chromatiales; Ectothiorhodospiraceae. The record is from RNAcentral.